Molecule: long non-coding RNA, 1287 nt
Filed under: Junco hyemalis (dark-eyed junco)
Lineage: Eukaryota; Metazoa; Chordata; Aves; Passeriformes; Passerellidae
Description: lncRNA (ENSJHYG00000010446.1)
Source: RNAcentral
ACUGCUUUGGUUAUACAGGUUCAUACUGGGUUAUACUGGUUCAUACUGGGUUAUACUGGGUUAUACUGGUUAAACUGGUCUGUACUGGUUCAUACUGCAUUAUAGUGCUUAUACUGGCUUAUACUGGUCCAUACUGGAUUAUACUGGUUUGUACUGCUUAUACUGCGUUAUACUGGUCCAUACUGGGUUAUACUGGUUUGUACUGGUUUAUACUUGUCCAUACUGGGUUAUAGUGGUUAUACUGGUCCGUACUGGUUACACUGGUUAGACUGGUCUGUACCAGGUUAUACUGGUUUGCACUGGGUUAUACUGGGUUAUAAUUGUUAUACCGGUUUGUACUGGUUCAUACUGGUUAUACUGGGAUAUACUGGUUUGGUUAUAUGGGUUCAUACUGGGUUAUAAUGGUUAUACUGGUUAGACUGGGAUAUACUGGUUUGUACUGGUUAUACUGGUUUGUACUGGGUUAGACUGGGUUAUACUGGUUUGGUUAUAGGGGUUCAUACUGGGUUAUAGUGGUUAUACUGGUUUGUACUGGUUCAUACUGGGUAUUGUAGCUAUACUGGUUUGUACUGGUUAUACUGGUUGUACUGGUCAGUACUCGUUUGUACUGGGUUGUACUGGUUUGUAUUAGUUAUACUGGUCCAUACUGGUUUGCACUGGAUCAUACCGGUCUGUACUGGUUUAUACUGCGUUAUACCGAUCCAUACAGGGUUAUACUGGUUUAUACUGGGUUAUACUGGUUUGGUUAUACAGGUUCAUACUGGUUCAUACUGGUUCAUACUGGUUCAUACUGGUUCAGGCCAUGGACACCCCCUCGGAUGAAGGUGACGAUGACGAUGAUGAGCAAGCUCAGGAGCGCCCCCUGCAGGUCUGUACUGGUUUGUACUGGUUAUACUGGUUUGUACUGGUUAUACUGGUUCAUACUGGUUCAUACUGGUUUAUACUGGUGGCAGAUCACGGGUGUCCCCUCAGAGGCCGUUGAUGAUGAUGAAGGUGAUGACGAUGAUGAGCAGGGUCAGGAGUGCCCCCUGCAGAUCAUGGAUGUCCCCGUGGAGGCCGCUGAUGAUGAAGGUGACGAUGACGAUGAUGAGGAGUCAGUAGCAGAAGCUCAGCAGCGGCUCCUGCAGGUCCGUACUGGUUUGUACCGGUCUGUACUGGUGCAUACUGGUCCAUACUGGUCUGUACUGGUCCAUACCAGUUCAUACUGGUCUGUACUGGUUUAUACUGAUUUGUACUGGUCCAUACCGGCUCAUGCUGGUCCAUAUUGGUUUAUGUUGAUUUGUACUG